RNAcentral lists this long non-coding RNA (523 nucleotides) under Equus caballus (horse). Its description in RNAcentral is "lncRNA (ENSECAG00000059360.1)". The record is from RNAcentral. Lineage: Eukaryota; Metazoa; Chordata; Mammalia; Perissodactyla; Equidae.
GACAUGAAUGAUUGUGGUGACACCCCAGUGAUGUGGGGACAGCAGAUAAGAGUGACAGCAUUUCAGAUUGGCCAGGAGCAAAGACAAUAGGAUUCCUCUGCUUAGGAAUCACUAAUGGCUUGGCCUUACUUCCGAAUCCCAGGGACUUUCCAUAAACUCUGCAAUGAAACACUGCUCACCAUUGACACCAUCAGACUGUUGAAUCAUCUGACCAAAGAGGGUAUCAAGUCAUCUUUGAAGAUGCAUAUAGUCAAUCCAAAAUGAUUGGGGGAACAAUGCAUACAAAGACAAAAGUCUGAAUCCCAGCACCAACCAGGAUGUUCUGCCAACCAUAAUAUUUUCCUAAGUGACUAUUGGUCAAAUCUUUAGUUAUGGGGCUGCCACUUUAUGCCCAUCCAUGUCCCACGUCCCACUCAAGAUGGGGGGUCAUCCUUACCAGGCUAGUAAUGAAUGAUCUAUUCUCAAAACUCCAUCUUAUCUCCUGCUUUCUCAGACCACUCCAAUUACCAACUGUGUUGGUCUG